RNAcentral lists this ribosomal RNA (1284 nucleotides) under metagenome. Its description in RNAcentral is "SSU rRNA". It matches the Rfam family "Eukaryotic small subunit ribosomal RNA", at positions 494 to 1800 of the family's 1831-position model. The record is from RNAcentral.
AUUGAGGCCCCGUAAUUGGAAUGAGUACACUUUAAAUCCUUUAACGAGGAUCAAUUGGAGGGCAAGUCUGGUGCCAGCAGCCGCGGUAAUUCCAGCUCCAAUAGCGUAUAUUAAAGUUGUUGCAGUUAAAAAGCUCGUAGUUGGAUCUCAGGAUUUGGAUGGAUGGUUCGCUUUCGGGCGCUACUAUCUGUCUGACCUACUCUAGUCGUGGAUGCCUUGGGUGCUCUUAAUUGAGUGCUUUUGGUGCCCGACGCAAUUACUUUGAAAAAAUUAGAGUGCUCAAAGCAGGCGUAUUGCCUGAAUAGUGUUGCAUGGAAUAAUGAAAUAGGAGUUUACUUCUAUUUUGUUGGUUUUCGGAGGUGAACUAAUGAUUAACAGGGACAGACGGGGGCAUUUGUAUGGAGGGGUUAGAGGUGAAAUUCUUGGAUCCUCUCCAGACAAACUACUGCGAAAGCAUUUGCCAGGAAUGUUUUCACUAAUCAAGAACGAAAGUCAGAGGUUCGAAGACGAUCAGAUACCGUCCUAGUUCUGACCAUAAAUGAUGCCAUCUAACAAUCCACGAAGUUUGCUUGUACGAACUCGUGGGCGGUCCCCGGGAAACCAAAGAUUUUGGGUUCCGGGGGGAGUAUGGUUGCAAAGCUGAAACUUAAAGGAAUUGACGGAAGGGCACACCAGGAGUGGAGCCUGCGGCUUAAUUUGACCCAACACGGGAAACCUCACCCGGCCCGGACACUUUUAGGAUUGACAGAUUGAAGGCUCUUUCUUGAUCAAGUGGUUGGUGGUGCAUGGCCGUUCUUAGUUGGUGGAGCGAUUUGUCUGGUUAAUUCCGAUAACGAACGAGACUCUACUCUGCUAAAUAGAACGUUGAUAUAUAAAAGUCAGUGCUGACUUCUUAGAGAGACUAACGGCGUUUAGCCGUGUGAGAAAGAGCAAUAACAGGUCUGUGAUGCCCUUAGAUGUCCGGGGCCGCACGCGCGCUACACUGACUGCAGCAACUAGUAUGCUCCUGGUUUGAAAAAACUGGGUAACCUGGUUGAAUUGCAGGCGUGACAGGGAUCAGAGUUUGCAAUUAUCCUCUGUGAACGAGGAAUUCCCAGUAAGCGCAAGUCAUUAGCUUGUGCUGAUUACGUCCCUGCCCUUUGUACACACCGCCCGUCGCUACUACCGAUUGAAUGGUUUAGUGAGGUCUUCGGAUUGGUGCUGAUGGAGUGGUUCUCUGCUCUGUUAGUGCCGAGAAGAUGAUCAAACUUGAUCAUUUAGAGGAAGUAAAAGUCGUAACAAGGU